GCCUGGGUGGCUCAGUGGGUUGAGCGUCUGACUUUGGCUCAGGUCACGAUCUCACGGUUUGUGGGUUUCAGCCCCACGUCGGGCU
Transfer RNA from Felis catus (domestic cat), 85 nucleotides. It matches the Rfam family "tRNA". From Rfam's summary of the family: Transfer RNA (tRNA) molecules are approximately 80 nucleotides in length. Their secondary structure includes four short double-helical elements and three loops (D, anti-codon, and T loops). NCBI's taxonomy places the organism in Eukaryota, Metazoa, Chordata, Mammalia, Carnivora, Felidae. The record is from Rfam.